AUUGAACGCUGGCGGCAGGCCUAACACAUGCAAGUCGAACGGUAGCACAGAGAGCUUGCUCUUGGGUGACGAGUGGCGGACGGGUGAGUAAUGUCUGGGAAACUGCCCGAUGGAGGGGGAUAACUACUGGAAACGGUAGCUAAUACCGCAUAACGUCUUCGGACCAAAGUGGGGGACCUUCGGGCCUCACACCAUCGGAUGUGCCCAGAUGGGAUUAGCUAGUAGGUGGGGUAAAGGCUCACCUAGGCGACGAUCCCUAGCUGGUCUGAGAGGAUGACCAGCCACACUGGAACUGAGACACGGUCCAGACUCCUACGGGAGGCAGCAGUGGGGAAUAUUGCACAAUGGGCGCAAGCCUGAUGCAGCCAUGCCGCGUGUAUGAAGAAGGCCUUCGGGUUGUAAAGUACUUUCAGCGGGGAGGAAGGCGUUAAGGUUAAUAACCUGGGCGAUUGACGUUACCCGCAGAAGAAGCACCGGCUAACUCCGUGCCAGCCGCCGCCGUAA
This 504-nucleotide ribosomal RNA is filed under the name uncultured bacterium. RNAcentral describes it as "partial 16S ribosomal RNA". It matches the Rfam family "Bacterial small subunit ribosomal RNA", at positions 30 to 523 of the family's 1533-position model. The record is from RNAcentral.